RNAcentral lists this ribosomal RNA (460 nucleotides) under uncultured bacterium. RNAcentral's name for it is "partial 16S ribosomal RNA". It matches the Rfam family "Bacterial small subunit ribosomal RNA", at positions 338 to 795 of the family's 1533-position model. The record is from RNAcentral.
CCUACGGGAGGCAGCAGUGGGGAAUAUUGGUCAAUGGGCGCAAGCCUGAAGCAGCCACGUCGCGUGAAGGAUGACUGCCCUACGGGUUGUAAGCUUCGUUUAUAAAGGAAUAAAGUGAGGCACGUGUGCCUUUUUGUAUGUCCUUUAUGAAUAAGGAUCGGCUAACUCCGUGCCAGCAGCCGCGGUAAUACGGAGGAUCCGGGCGUUAUCCGGAUUUAUUGGGUGUAAAGGGAGCGUAGAUGGGUUGUUAAGUCAGUUGUGAAAGUUUGCGGCUCAACCGUAAAAUUGCAAUUGAUACUGGCAGCCUUGAGUACAGGUGAGGUAGGCGGAAUUCGUGGUGUAGCGGUGAAAUGCUUAGAUAUCACGAAGAACUCCGAUUGCGAAGGCAGCUUACUAAACUGCCACUGACAUUGAUGCUCGAAAGUGUGGGUAGCAAACAGGAUUAGAUACCCGUGUAGUC